Molecule: ribosomal RNA, 798 nt
Filed under: Liurana alpina (Alpine papilla-tongued frog)
Lineage: Eukaryota; Metazoa; Chordata; Amphibia; Anura; Ceratobatrachidae
Description: partial 16S ribosomal RNA
Rfam family: Bacterial large subunit ribosomal RNA (bases 169-798)
Source: RNAcentral
GCCAAUAGUCUAGCCCGCCUAAUUUAUAUACACCUGCAAUACCCCACCCCUCCCUCCCCAAAACAUUUUAUCUCUUUAGUAAAGGCGAUUGAAAAAUUUCUCGGCGCUUUAGAGCCAGUACCGCAAGGGAAUGAUGAAAUAAAAAUGAAAUAACCCUAAGCCCACUACAGCAGAGCCUAUGACUCGUACCUUUUGCAUCAUGGUCGAGCCAGUCAUAGUUAGACACAAUGUAAAUUCUAGCCUACCCCCCCGAAACUGAGUGAGCUACUUCAAAACAGCUUAUUGAGCCAACCUGUCUCUGUCGCAAAAGAGUAGGAAGAUUUUUAAGUAGCGGUGACAAGCCUACCGAACUCAGAGAUAGCUGGUUUCUCGAGAAAGGAAUCUUAGUUCCCCCUUAAAUUACACUUUUACCCCAAAAAUCAAAACAAAUUUAAGAGCCGUUCAAAUAAGGCACAGCUUAUUUGAAAAAGAACACAGCCUCCUAUACAGGGUAACAAGCAAACUUUCGCAAAGUGGGCCUAAAAGCAGCCAUCUUUUAAAAAGCGUUAAAGCUUCCCCGCACAUAACACUAAUACCCCUCCCAACCCUCAACCCUUAAUCACUACCGAGCAACUCCAUACUUUAUGGAAGAUAUUAUGCUUGAACUAGUAACAAGAAAUUGACUUUCUCCUUAAUGCAAGCCUAAAUCAUAAUGGACCCCCCACUGAUAAUUGACGCAGUUGAAAACCUAAAAGCAACACACCAAGAAAACCCUUUUUCCCGCCCCGUUAACCUUACACAAGUGCAUUCCAGGAAAGA